UCUCUCUCCAGCAUCUCACCGCUGCUCGUUGGUGCAGGCGCCCAGGCUCAGCUAAAGUUCCACUCUGUUUGCUCCUGGGAGUGUCGUCACCGGGAAGUCUCAGGACUGGAGAACGAUGGCUGUAGCUGCAUCCCUGAGCUGGUUUCAUCCUCCACAACGUGGUGCCCCUAAGGAACUAGAGGUGGAAAGACUUGAGUGUUUGUAUACAGCAAGAUAACUUCAACAUAUACUCAGCACUCCCUAAACAAAUAAGAUGCUUCCGACCUUGUCAGAAACAAUAAAGAGUGAGAAAUAUCUUCAAG
Long non-coding RNA from Prionailurus viverrinus (fishing cat), 302 nucleotides. RefSeq lists it as uncharacterized. NCBI's taxonomy places the organism in Eukaryota, Metazoa, Chordata, Mammalia, Carnivora, Felidae. The record is from RefSeq and is a predicted model, not a curated record. The transcript is spliced from 4 exons.